UAGCCCGCUUGAUCUUCCGGUGCCCGGAUGGCCUUCGCCUGAUGGGUUAAACGGGAAGUCGGUGCGCGCGCCUUCAUGGAUGCGCAAUGCCGACGCUGCCCCCGCAACGGUAGACGAGCGAACCGCAUCCGACCCUGGAUGCGGUUCAAGACGCGACCUGAUGCCACUGUGAUCAUUCAUGGGAAGGCGUCGCGUUUGGGGUAUACCCGCUCGUGAGCCCGGAGACCGGCCAGAGGAUCUGGAGCCGU
Molecule: non-coding RNA, 248 nt
Filed under: Thiocystis violascens
Lineage: Bacteria; Pseudomonadati; Pseudomonadota; Gammaproteobacteria; Chromatiales; Chromatiaceae
Also listed under: 1 other name
Source: RNAcentral